CCAGCCGCCGCCAUGACAAGCAGCAUGUGAAGACGCCGCCAAUACAGUGAGAAAGGAGGUAUCUGGGACAGAGAGAAGACCCAUCUGAUGCUGCCCUGCACAAGAAAUGUGGAGGGACAGGCAAAACACAGCAUCCCUCCCAUACAGCUGUGAAGUGACAAGACACAGAGCAGUACUGGAGGUCACUCAGCAAUGAAUCUUCAGGAAACAGAAAAGCACACACAGUAGACCAUGGAGAGGGUCUCAAUCCAACAAGAAGAAACCCUGGAACUCUAUGUCUAUGCUCAACCCCAAUCCACUGAUGUCCAGACCCAAUGUCUGCAUCUCCCAAAAGGAAAAACCAAGCCCCUAUAUUUUCACGCACAGGAUGGUCCCAGUGUAUCAACUUAAAACCACCUGGGACCCAUGCCAUGGUUUGAAUUUGAAAUAUCCUUAAGAGACUUGUGUGUUUCAAAAAUUGGUCUGUUGUGGAAUAUUAUUUUAAGAUGUUUUACAUUUGCUUAUGCUCUGGAACAAUUUGUUUAAUGAUGAAAA
Peromyscus californicus insignis is the source of this 534-nucleotide long non-coding RNA. RefSeq lists it as uncharacterized. The transcript is spliced from 2 exons. Lineage: Eukaryota; Metazoa; Chordata; Mammalia; Rodentia; Cricetidae. The record is from RefSeq and is a predicted model, not a curated record.